RNAcentral lists this long non-coding RNA (2676 nucleotides) under Olea europaea subsp. europaea. The record is from RNAcentral. Lineage: Eukaryota; Viridiplantae; Streptophyta; Magnoliopsida; Lamiales; Oleaceae.
GUUGUCUUUAGGUCUAAAGUUAUCUUGAAAGAGAAGUUAAAUUGUUGGGUUGAUAACACUAGAGUUUAGUGUUAGGUUUAAACUGUUGCUGUGAAGAGUGUCUUUGGAAAGUGUCAAAGAUGGUUCAAGGAUAUCAAGUCGAUGGAAAAUUUCUCAAAGUCUACUAGAUAGAGUCCUCAAGUGAUUUUUACAGUGACCAGACUGCUUACUUUCUGCGUGAUAAGCGCUUGAGCAAUUAUUCAGUCAAUAAAACAUCAUUUGAAGAUCAAAUACAUAUUCCAUAAAUCUCUUGCCUCAACUACAAGAUCAAAACACAAAUAUAAUCUUUAGAUCAAACACCAAACAAAUUCUUUACCAAAUGGCCUUUUGAGUUUCGAAGAUUGAAAAAGUAACUACAGUUCCAGUUGGAGAAGAAAAUUUUCAUUCUGGUGAUCCACGCAAAGGAAAAAGAAGUAUAGAGGUUUUAAAAAUGCAACAGGUACAAUCAAAGAGUUCUUCGAUGAUUUACUGGUUAGAUGAUCAAAGUCUACUAAAGUUUAGUUAUGUCUAGACCAACUGUUAAUUAACUAUUUUUUAGUGGAUUUAUUUGGCAAGGUUUACAGGGAGCAGAAGGUAUUCGUCAUUAUCAAAGUCCUCCUAUGCUAAUUUAUAAACCACUGCAUCUACGUGAUUUUUUUACUAUCAAGAUAAAAAAAAUCGUUAAGUUGCUAUUUAAACACCUCAGUUUGUUACCACAAUUGUUCCAUCUAUUUAGUUGCUCCGUUGCCAUCACUUGCAGAUGUAGUUGAUGUGAGUGGCAAUUCAUUUGAUCAAAAUAUUAAUUAUCUCUUAGUCAACUUUCUUUUCUCAUGCAUCUAAUAUUUUGACGCAACUUUUCAAGGAGAAAAAUUACAACAACGGUAAGUUCAAUACAAUAAUUCUUCAGUAGAUCAUGUGAUCACCCCUUUGGGAAAUAUUCACUUAUUAUAAUAAUUUAUCUUUUCUUGUUCCAAUAUAAGAUAAGCAAUUCCUCAAAAUAUUUCUUUUUUAAUGGCGACAGUAAAAUCUUAUUAGUUUUUCGAUUAAAAAUAUAGAUCAAACAACCAUUUUAACCAUAUCAAACAGUUAUUUUAUUUUAAUUUUUUAAUGAGAAAAAUAAGAGGGUUGAUACAGGUUUUGUUGAGUGGAAGAGAAGACCAUCAAGGAUUUUCUGGGCUCAGUUUCUCCAAUUGAUCAAUCACCCUGAUGAAAAGGAGCCAAAACUCCUCAACUACUUCACCUUACAGUUGCUCCUUGGUCACCCACUUAGGACACAAAAGAAGGAGGUACAAUAACACUAUUUGAUUAUCCAUAAAGGCAAUAACGCAAAAAAAGAUAGUAGGCAAAAAACACAAAGAAAAGCCACCCGUCUCACACAAAGAUAGAAGGCUGAGACUGCAUUCAUAUGACCAAGAGAAAGGGAUAGCCUUUUCAAAAGUUGUUUUUGGGCUAAUUUCGCAUCCAAAUCAACUUCCUUCAGCUGUGUUGGUAUCGUAGUAGAAUUUUUUAGCAAAAAAAGAGGCCAAGAAAAAAAAAUUUCUAUUGUUAUUUCCGUCCAACAAUUCUUCAUUGUUAAUUCUUUUAGAACCAUUUAUUUCCUUCCAGUCAACUUGAAGUGUCGUUUCAAACAAUUUAUGAUUUUGUUGGUUCUAGUCAACUUUUCAAUUUCCAUUGUUCAAAUUUCUCUUAAAAUCACCACUCUUGACUAAACCCGAUUUGGAAUCCACGAGGCUAAUUCUUAUGUUUUCAAUUUAUUCUUGAGAGCACUUGAAUGAAAGCACUGAGUGGAAAGAUGCACAGUAGUGAGAUCAAUAGAGGGUAAAAGCCAUAUAUUGUGUGAUUCCGAGUGAAUAUUGGUGAGAUAGAAAGUUUUCAGAUUUAGGAUGUUUGACAGAGAAAGUUUCAAUUCAAGUCGAAAUAGUAAUCAUAUUAAUGUGUCGAACGAUAGGAUGAGACGGUUUGAGAGGUGGUUGGCAGAUAUGGAAGAUAUGUUAGCUAGGCUUGAUACAUCAAUUACAAAUCUUAAUAGGGACAACUUGUGGAAACAUCUCAUGCUAGGAGGCUAGGUAGAUGAGAGCCUAGAUAGGAGGCAUACGAUUACGAUAGUGAUUUGGAUGAAGAUGAGUAUGAAAGAGUUAAGAUGGGAUGAAUGUGGAAUAGAAGUGAUAGGCUUAAACGAUCGGGUAAGAAUAAUCAUGAGACAAGAUAGAUGGUAAUAUGUGCAACAUUAAGAUAUUAAUUCCACCGCUUAAGGGAAGAAUUGAUUCUAAAGCUUAUCUAGAGUGGAAAAAGAAACCGGAGUUAAUUUUUUAGUGCUAUAACUACUCAAAGGUAAAGAUAGCAAUUCUAGAAUUCACUGACUAUGCGAUAACUUGGUGGGAUCAAGUAGUCACUUCACGACAUAGAAAUCGAGAGAGGCCUAUCAACGCUUGGGAUGAGUUGAAAACGAUGAUAAGAAAGCGAUUUGUACCUAGACACUACUAUAGGAAAUUCCAUCAAAAAUUGUAGAGUUUAUAUCAGGGUUCGAAGAGUGUAGAUGAUUAUCACAAGAGGAUGUAGAUAGUGAUGAUCUGGGUGAAUGUGGAGGAGGAUCGGAAAGCCACUAGGGCUCAUUUUCUAAAUGGGUUGAAUAAGGAUAUAGCCAAUGUGGUGGAGUAG